Non-coding RNA from Picea glauca (white spruce), 121 nucleotides. The record is from Rfam. NCBI's taxonomy places the organism in Eukaryota, Viridiplantae, Streptophyta, Pinopsida, Pinales, Pinaceae.
GUACAUGACUACAACAUAGCGUUAAUGCACCAGAUCCCAUUAGAACUCAACAAUUAAGCACGCUCAGGCUAGAGUAGUAUUGGGAUGCGUGACCGCCCGGGAAGUCCUAGUGUUUUAUAUG